This 377-nucleotide ribosomal RNA is filed under the name uncultured bacterium. Its description in RNAcentral is "bacterial SSU rRNA". It matches the Rfam family "Bacterial small subunit ribosomal RNA", at positions 103 to 479 of the family's 1533-position model. The record is from RNAcentral.
CGGGUGCGUAACGCGUAUGCAACCUACCUUUAACAGGGGGAUAACACUGAGAAAUUGGUACUAAUACCCCAUAAUAUCAUAGAAGGCAUCUUUUAUGGUUGAAAAUUCCGAUGGUUAGAGAUGGGCAUGCGUUGUAUUAGCUAGUUGGUGGGGUAACGGCUCACCAAGGCGACGAUACAUAGGGGGACUGAGAGGUUAACCCCCCACACUGGUACUGAGACACGGACCAGACUCCUACGGGAGGCAGCAGUGAGGAAUAUUGGUCAAUGGACGCAAGUCUGAACCAGCCAUGCCGCGUGCAGGAUGACGGCUCUAUGAGUUGUAAACUGCUUUUGUACGAGGGUAAACGCAGAUACGUGUAUCUGUCUGAAAGUAUC